UAAGCAUACUGGAAAGUGUGCUUGGAGACAAAAUGUAGUUUAACUAAAACUUCUCGCUUACACCGAGACAAUAUCUAAUAAUAUAGAUCAUUUUGAACCUUAAACCUAGUUUUUUAUACAUAAUACUAACAACCUUAAAAAAAUAAAAAUAAAACAUUUUAAUGUCUAGUAAAGGCGAUUGAAAAACCACAUAAAACUAUAAAUAAAGUACCGAAAGGGAAUGGUGAAAUAAAAAUGAAAAAUGUUAAAGUACUAAAAAGCAGAGACCCAUCCUCGUACCUUUUGCAUCAUGGUCUAGCCAGUCAAAACAAGCAAAAAGUCACUAAAGUUUGUAAUCCCGAAACUAAGUGAGCUACUUCAAAACAGCCUUAUAGGGCCAACUCGUCUCUGUGGCAAAAGAGUGAGAAGAUUUUUAAGUAGAAGUGAAAAGCCUACCGAACUUAGAGAUAGCUGGUUAUUUGAGAAAAGAAUAUUAGUUCUGCCUUAAAUUUAAAAACAUCAAAACAACUAAAUAAUAAACUUAAGAGUUAUUCAAAUAAGGUACAGCCUAUUUGAUACAGGAAACAACCUAAAAACUAGGGUAAUGCUUAAUAAAUUAAUAACCAAGUUGGCUUGAAAGCAGCCACCUUUAAAAAAGCGUCAAAGCUUAACUAUAGGUAAUUUUAAUUCCCACUAAAACGCUAAACCCCACCCCACUACCAAAUAACUUUAUAAUUUUAUAAAACAUAUUAUGCUAGAACUAGUAAUAAGAAUGAGAACUUCUCCAAAAUAUAAGUGUAAUGCAGAACAAACCAUAACUGCUAACUAUUGUUCAUGAACUAAAAGUAAUAACCCUACCAGAAAACCUUACUUUUCUCAACAUUAACCUAACACAAGAAUAUUGCCGGAAAGAUUAAAAGAAGGGAAAGGAACUCGGCAAAUAAUCUAGCCUCGCCUGUUUACCAAAAACACCGCCUCUUGCUAAAACAUAAGAGGUCCCGCCUGCCCACUGACUAAGGGUUCAACGGCCGCGGUAUCUUAACCGUGCAAAGGUAGCACAAUAAAUUGUCUUCUAAAUAAAGACUAGUAUGAAUGGCACCACGAGGGCUUAACUGUCUCCCCCCUCUAAUCAAUGAAACUGAUCUCCCCGUGAAGAAGCGGGAAUAAAAAUAUAAGACGAGAAGACCCCAUGGAGCUUUAAACUCAUCACCAAUUACUUAAUAUUAAAUCACUAAAAAAGGUAAAAAUGUUCUUGAUAGUUUUCGGCUGGGGUGACCCUGGAGUAAAACAAACCCUCCAGAAUGAAAGGAAUAAAUCCUAACCCAAGAAUUACAAUUCUAAGAAUCAAAAACUUGACAUUAAUGAUCCAAUUACUUGAUCAACGAACCAAGUUACCCUGGGGAUAACAGCGCAAUCCAUUUCAAGAGCCCCUAUCGACAAAUGGGUUUACGACCUCGAUGUUGGAUCGGGGUAUCCUGGUGGCGCAGCCGCUACCAAAGGUUCGUUUGUUCAACGAUUAAUAACCCC
RNAcentral lists this ribosomal RNA (1506 nucleotides) under Afrixalus pygmaeus. RNAcentral's name for it is "partial 16S ribosomal RNA". It matches the Rfam family "Bacterial large subunit ribosomal RNA", at positions 36 to 2597 of the family's 2925-position model. Lineage: Eukaryota; Metazoa; Chordata; Amphibia; Anura; Hyperoliidae. The record is from RNAcentral.